CCGGGWWAUGCCCUUAGUAGCGGCGAGUGAAGCGGCAAAGCUCAAAUUUGAAAUCUGGUACUUUCAGUGCCCGAGUUGUAAUUUGAAGAAGGUAUCUUUGGGUCUGGCGCUUGUCUAUGUUUCUUGGAACAGAACGUCACASAGGGUGAGAAUCCCGUGCGAUGAGAUGAUCCAGGCCUAUGUAAAGUUCCUUCGACGAGUCGAGUUGUUUGGUAAUGCAGCUCUUCAUGGGUGGUAAAUUCCAUCUUAAGCCAAAUAUUGRCGAGAGAUCGACACCGAACAAGUACAGUGAUGGAAAGAUGAAAAGAACUUUGAAAAGAGAGUGAAAAAGUAGCUGUCAUUGUCGACAGGRCACGGCUUGAGAUCUUACUUGRKAUUUUGUAUGUUACUUCUUCGGGGGUGGCCUCUACWCUGUAACGUUCUGUUCCCAGUUUGGACGGUAGCACCAUUGCCGWGGAAAGCGUCWUCRCAUCACUUGUGUGGCACUGCCACUGCCRRAACUGCMAUUUGAGCUUUUGCCGCUUCAYUUAUMSCUACKRAGGUGAUCCCUGUUGSUUUCUUUUCCCCCGCUUGWAGAWAUGCCCCA
This 586-nucleotide ribosomal RNA is filed under the name Candida maltosa. RNAcentral's name for it is "partial large subunit ribosomal RNA". It matches the Rfam family "Eukaryotic large subunit ribosomal RNA", at positions 69 to 609 of the family's 3401-position model. Lineage: Eukaryota; Fungi; Ascomycota; Pichiomycetes; Serinales; Debaryomycetaceae. The record is from RNAcentral.